AUUGAACGCUGGCGGCAUGCUUUACACAUGCAAGUCGAACGGUAACAGGUUAAGCUGACGAGUGGCGAACGGGUGAGUAAUGCAUCGGAACGUGCCCGGUCGUGGGGGAUAACGCAGCGAAAGCUGCGCUAAUACCGCAUACGAUCUGAGGAUGAAAGCGGGGGACCGUAAGGCCUCGCGCGAUCGGAGCGGCCGAUGUCAGAUUAGGUAGUUGGUGGGGUAAAGGCUCACCAAGCCAACGAUCUGUAGCUGGUCUGAGGGGACGACCAGCCACCCUGGGACUGAGGCACGGCCCAGACUCCUACGGGAGGCAGCAGUGGGGAAUUUUGGACAAUGGGCGAAAGCCUGAGCCAGCAAUGCCGCGUGCAGGAAGAAGGCCUUCGGGUCGUAAACUGCUUUUGUACGGAGCGAAAAGGUCUCCUCUAAUACAGGGGGCUCAUGACGGUACCGUAAGAAUAAGCACCGGCUAACUACGUGCCAGCCGCCGCCGUAA
This 493-nucleotide ribosomal RNA is filed under the name uncultured bacterium. Its description in RNAcentral is "partial 16S ribosomal RNA". It matches the Rfam family "Bacterial small subunit ribosomal RNA", at positions 29 to 523 of the family's 1533-position model. The record is from RNAcentral.